RNAcentral lists this ribosomal RNA (462 nucleotides) under uncultured Methanolinea sp. RNAcentral's name for it is "bacterial SSU rRNA". It matches the Rfam family "Archaeal small subunit ribosomal RNA", at positions 877 to 1338 of the family's 1478-position model. The record is from RNAcentral. Lineage: Archaea; Methanobacteriati; Methanobacteriota; Methanomicrobia; Methanomicrobiales; Methanoregulaceae.
CACCACAACAGGUGGAGCCUGCGGUUUAAUCGGACUCAACGCCGGGAAGCUCACCGGAUAAGACAGCGGAAUGAUAGCCGGGCUGAAGACUCUGCUUGACUAGCUGAGAGGAGGUGCAUGGCCGUCGUCAGUUCGUACUGUGAAGCAUCCUGUUAAGUCAGGCAACGAGCGAGACCCACGCCAACAGUUGCCAGCAUGUCCUCCGGGAUGGUGGGGACACUGUUGGGACCGCCUCUGCUAAAGAGGAGGAAGGAAUGGGCAACGGUAGGUCAGCAUGCCCCGAAUUAUCCGGGCUACACGCGGGCUACAAUGGUCAGGACAAUGGGCAUCAACACCGAAAGGUGAAGGCAAUCUCUUAAACCUGUCCUUAGUUCGGAUUGUGGGCUGCAACUCGCCCACAUGAAGCUGGAAUCUGUAGUAAUCGCGUCUCAAAAUGGCGCGGUGAAUAUGUCCCUGCUCCUU